This 487-nucleotide long non-coding RNA is filed under the name Prunus persica (peach). Its description in RNAcentral is "long non-coding RNA (PPER_LNC005367)". Lineage: Eukaryota; Viridiplantae; Streptophyta; Magnoliopsida; Rosales; Rosaceae. The record is from RNAcentral.
GGGGACAAGUAAUCAACUUUAAUACACGACGAAUGAGAUCGAACUCAGGUGUAAAUUAUUACCAAAAUUAGAAAAGUGGAGGAAAAUUUUCACACACUAUCAAGGUGUUGUGAGGUGAACUUGAAACUACUAGUUUGCAAAUCAAGACAAUUUUUGAAUCCGUUGGCGGCACACUAUCUUAAUUAACUGAUCUACAGAUAUAUUUUUAAUUAUUAAUUAGUUAAUAAAAGAGUUUUUAAAAGUCAACUUAUUCUUAAUGAACAAAAGUCAGAAUCUUUGAAGAUUGCGGAUGGUUGGCAAAGUGGUUUGAAAUGAGCAAUUUCUUGACAAACUCAAGAGAGUAACAAAAAUGUGUUGGAAUUGACACACAAGCAUUAGGUAAAAAAAAAAGAAAAAGAUAUAUAAUUAAAACAAAAGAGCAUUAUCCAUAGUGGCAAGAAAUGUGUUUGAUAACCAAUAAUCACCUGCAUAGAUUAUUCAUAGUGGC